GUGUCAGCCGCCGCGGUAAUACGUAGGGGGCAAGCGUUGUCCGGAAUCAUUGGGCGUAAAGCGCGUGUAGGCGGCCAUCCAAGUCCGAUGUGAAAGCUCGGGGCUCAACCCCGAGUCUGCAUUGGAAACUGUAUGGCUUGAGUCCGGAAGAGGAGACUGGAAUUCCUGGUGUAGCGGUGAAAUGCGCAGAUAUCAGGAAGAACACCGGUGGCGAAGGCGGGUCUCUGGGACGGUACUGACGCUGAGACGCGAAAGCGUGGGGAGCAAACAGGAUUAGAAACCCUCGUAGUCC
This 292-nucleotide ribosomal RNA is filed under the name uncultured bacterium. Its description in RNAcentral is "partial 16S ribosomal RNA". It matches the Rfam family "Bacterial small subunit ribosomal RNA", at positions 505 to 796 of the family's 1533-position model. The record is from RNAcentral.